RNAcentral lists this ribosomal RNA (2604 nucleotides) under Gossypium raimondii (Peruvian cotton). RNAcentral describes it as "eukaryotic LSU rRNA". It matches the Rfam family "Eukaryotic large subunit ribosomal RNA", at positions 461 to 3401 of the family's 3401-position model. The record is from RNAcentral. Lineage: Eukaryota; Viridiplantae; Streptophyta; Magnoliopsida; Malvales; Malvaceae.
UUCCAUGAGGAGGACGCGACGAGGGCGUCGCUAGAACAAGUGGGGGAUAAUGUCAUGGGUUGCGCAUGGGAUCUUACAACCAUAGCAGAUUCGUACGAUCCAUUGCAUUCGAGGGCGGUCAUUUGGCCCAACGGGACUGGUUCAUUGCCUGGAGGAAUUAAAAGCCCAUCUCUGGAGCUUGGCAAAUAAGGAAAGUGAUCUUUUGAAGGUAUGCUUGGCAAGUAUGGAAGGUGAUCUUUGCAGAUAUGUGAUCCUAGAUAUUAAAUGAAAUCUUUAGAAGAUACGAUUAUGAAAUCUUAGAGAUUUGAUAUUGUGAUAGCUUUUAAUUGUAGCCAUUGAUGUAUUUUGAUUUAGACCGUUGAUUUUGGAGAGCCUCAGCUAUAAAUAGUGGACUCUCUGCUCAUUGUAAAUUGUUCAGUUGUUAAUAGAAUUCUGAGAUUAUUCACUCAAACUUUUCCCUCAAGUGUUCUUACUUUCUGUUGCUUUUGUUCAUCUUUUAAGUUCAUUCUUACUUCGUUCUUCUGUUGUUCUUCGUGGUUUCCUUGACUUAGGCAUUUUUGAGCAAAGAAACUGGCUGAGGCCGCACGGAUCGCAUGGGAAAACUCUAAGUCCAUGACACUAGUAGCUAGUUCCCUCCGAAGUUUCCCUCAGGAUAGCUGGAGGCCUCAGCGAGUUCUAUCGGGUAAAGCCAAUGAUUAGAGGCAUCGGGGCCGCAAUGCCCUCGACCUAUUCUCAAACUUUAAAUAGGUAAGAUGGUGUGGGUGCUUCGUUGAGCCGCGCCACGGAAUCGAGAGCUCCAACUGGGCCAUUUUUGGUAAGCAGAACUGGCGAUGCGGGAUGAAUCGGAAGCUGGGUUACGGUGCCCAACUGCGCACUAACCUAGAACCAACAAAGGGUGUUGGUUGAUUAAGACAGCAGGACGGUGGUCAUGGAAGUCAAAAUCUGCUAAGGAAUGUGUAACAACUCACCUGCCGAAUCAACUAGCCCCAAAAAUGGAUGGCACUUAAGCGCGUAACCUACACUUGGCCGCCGUGGUAAGGGCCAGGCCCCGAUUAGCAAGACAGUACGGCGAUCAUCGCAAAACCUGGGGCAUGAGCCUGGGUGGAGCGGACGUCGGUGCAGAUCUUGGUGGUAGUAGCAAAUAUUCAAAUGAGAACUUUGAAGGCUGAAGAGGGGAAAGGUUCCAUGUGAACAUCACUUGCGCAUGGGUUAGUCGAUCCUAAGAGACGGAGAAAGCCCGUCCGAUAGCACGUUCAGCGCGAGCUUCGAAAGGGAAUCGGGUUAAAAUUCUUGAACCGAGACUCGGUGACUGAAGAUAACGUUAGGGAGUCCAGAGACGUCGGUGGAGGCAUCAGGAAGAGUUAUCUUUUCUUUUUAACGGCCUGCCUACCCUGGAAAUGGCUUAGCCGGAGGUAGGGUCCAGCGGCCGAAAGAGCACCGCACGCUGUAUAGUGUCCGGUGCGCCCUCGGCGGCCCUUGAAAAUCUGAAGGAUCGAGUGCUGUCUGCGCCCGGUCGUACUCAUAACCACAUCAGGUCUCCAAGGUGAACAGCCUCUGGUCAAUGGAACAAUGUAGGCAAGGAAAGUCGGCAAAAUGGAUCUAUAACCUUGGGAAAAGGAUUGGCUCUAAGGUCUGGGCACGAGGGUCCCAGUCCCAAACCCGUAGGCUAUCGGUACACUACUCGAGCUGCUCCCGCGGCUAGAGGGGGUUGCUGCGUGCCGGCCGGGGGACGGACUGGGAACGGCACCCUCGGGGGCCUUCCCCGGGCGACGAACAGUCUACUCAGAAUUGGUACAGACAAAGGGAAUCCAACUGUUUAAUUAAAACAAAUCAUUGCGAUGGUCUCUGCAGAUGCUCAUGCAAUCUGAUUUCUACCUAGUGCUCUGAAUGUCAAAGUGAAGAAUUUCAACCAAGCGCGGCUAAACGACAGGAGUAACUAUGACUCUCUUAAGCGUGGCCUAUCGAUUUUUUAGACCUUCGGAAUAAGAAGCUAGAUGUGUUAGAAAUUUUACCACAUGCAUAACUGGCUUGUGGCAGCCGAGCGUUCAUAGCGACGUUGCUGUUUGGUCCUUCGAUGUCGACUCUUCCUAUCAUUGUGAAGCAGAAUCCACCAAGUAUUGGAUUGUUCACCCACCAAUAAGAAACGUGAGCUGGGUUUAGACCGUCGUGAGAUAGGUUAGUUUUACCCUACAGAUGGGCGCAUCAUAAUAGUAAUUCAACCUAGUACAAGAGGAACCGUUGAUUCGUACAAUUGGUUAUUGCGCUUGGUUGAAAAGCCAGUGGCGCAAAGUUACCAUGCGUUGGAUUAUGACUGAACAGUUCUAAGUCAAAAUCUGGGCUAGAAGUGACGCACGCGCCCGUCGCCCGAUUGCCGACCCGCAGUAGGGGCCUCUGGCCCCUAAGGGCACGUGUCGUAGGUGCAGCGACCGCGGCAGACAAUUCACAGGCGCCUCCCUGGAGCGUAAUUCCCACCGAGCGGCGGGUAGAAUCAUUUGCAGAUGACAUAAAUACACGACGGGGUAUUGUAAGUAGCAGAGUGGCCUUGCUGCCACGAUCCACUGAGAUUCAGCCCUUUUGUCGCUUCGAUUCGUCCCUCCUCUAUCG